RNAcentral lists this small RNA (954 nucleotides) under Pan troglodytes (chimpanzee). RNAcentral's name for it is "retained intron". The record is from RNAcentral. Lineage: Eukaryota; Metazoa; Chordata; Mammalia; Primates; Hominidae.
CCGGGUGGGAGUGACUGUGGCACAGACCACAAUGGAGCCACAUCUUCUAGAAGCCUGUGUGCGUGAUGUACUGAAUGACACAGCCCCACGAGCCAUGGCUGUGCUGGAGUCACUACGGGUCAUCAUCACCAACUUUCCUGCUGCCAAGUCCUUGGACAUCCAGGUGCCCAACUUCCCAGCUGAUGAGACCAAAGGCUUCCAUCAGGUUCCCUUUGCACCCAUUGUCUUCAUUGAGAGGACUGACUUCAAGGAGGAGCCAGAGCCAGGAUUUAAGCGCCUGGCUUGGGGCCAGCCUGUGGGCCUGAGGCAUACAGGCUACGUCAUUGAGCUGCAGCAUGUUGUCAAGGGCCCCAGUGGUUGUGUAGAGAGUCUGGAGGUGACCUGCAGACGGGCAGAUGCUGGAGAGAAGCCAAAGGCCUUUAUUCACUGGGUGUCACAGCCUUUGAUGUGUGAGGUUCGCCUCUAUGAGCGACUGUGAGUGAACAGAGCUGGGGUGGGGGCAGGUACAAGAUGCACAUUGCCUGCUGUGGCUGCCCAGCUGGGGGUAUGACCUUCACUUUGGCUGCAGAUUCCAGCACAAGAACCCUGAAGAUCCUACUGAGGUGCCUGGUGGAUUUUUAAGUGACCUGAACCUGGUAGGUUCGUGAGGUUUGGGGUGAGGGAGGUAGGCCUCCCUGGUUGGAUGGUUGCCUGAGUUCCCUGCCUGCAGGCAUCACUACACGUGGUGGAUGCAGCAUUAGUGGACUGCUCUGUGGCCCUGGCAAAACCCUUCGACAAGUUCCAGUUUGAGCGUCUUGGAUAUUUCUCCGUGGAUCCAGACAGCCAUCAGGGAAAGCUUGUCUUUAACCGAACUGUCACACUGAAGGAAGACCCGGGAAAGGUGUGAGCUGGAAGCACUGAACCUACCUCAUCCUCCUGGAGGGUGUGGCUACCCUCGCCACCCCAAAUUCCAUG